CUGGCCUUGACAUGUCCGGAAUCCAGCAGAGAUGCAGGAGUGCCUUCGGGAAUCGGAACACAGGUGCUGCAUGGCUGUCGUCAGCUCGUGUCGUGAGAUGUUGGGUUAAGUCCCGCAACGAGCGCAACCCUUGUCCUUAGUUGCCAGCGAGUAAUGUCGGGAACUCUAAGGAGACUGCCGGUGACAAACCGGAGGAAGGUGGGGAUGACGUCAAGUCCUCAUGGCCCUUACGCGCUGGGCUACACACGUGCUACAAUGGUGGUGACAAUGGGUCGCAAGCGUGCGAACGCAAGCUAAUCUCCAAAAGCCAUCUCAGUUCGGAUUGCACUCUGCAACUCGAGUGCAUGAAGUCGGAAUCGCUAGUAAUCGUGGAUCAGCAUGCCACGGUGAAUACGUUCCC
RNAcentral lists this ribosomal RNA (400 nucleotides) under uncultured bacterium. Its description in RNAcentral is "bacterial SSU rRNA". It matches the Rfam family "Bacterial small subunit ribosomal RNA", at positions 975 to 1375 of the family's 1533-position model. The record is from RNAcentral.